RNAcentral lists this non-coding RNA (117 nucleotides) under Nomascus leucogenys (northern white-cheeked gibbon). The record is from Rfam by way of RNAcentral. Lineage: Eukaryota; Metazoa; Chordata; Mammalia; Primates; Hylobatidae.
GCCAGGUGCGAUGGCUCACGCCUGUAAUCCCAGCACUUUGGGAGGCUGAGGCAGGCGGAUCACCUGAGGUCAGGAAUUUCAGAACAACCUGACCAACAUGGUGAAACCCUGUCUCUA